This 468-nucleotide ribosomal RNA is filed under the name uncultured bacterium. RNAcentral's name for it is "partial 16S ribosomal RNA". It matches the Rfam family "Bacterial small subunit ribosomal RNA", at positions 28 to 507 of the family's 1533-position model. The record is from RNAcentral.
GACGAACGCUGGCGGCGUGCUUAACACAUGCAAGUCGAACGGAAAGGCCCUGCGUUUGUGGGUUGCUCGAGUGGCGAGCGGGUGAGUAACACGCGAGUAACCUGCCCUUGACUUUGGGAUAACUUUAGGAAACUGGGGCUAAUACCCGAUAUGAGCUCCUGCUGCAUGGUGGGGGUUGGAAAGUUUCGGCGGUUGGGGAUGGACUCGCGGCUUAUCAGCUGGUUGGUGGGGUAGGGGCUUACCAAGGCUAUGACGGGUAGCCGGCAUGAGAGGGUGACCGGCCACAUUGGGACUGAGAUACGGCGCAGAAUGCUACGGGAGGCAGCAGUGGGGAAUAUUGCACAAUGGGCGGAAGCGUGAUGCAGCGGCGCCGCGUGCGGAAUGCCGGCCUUCGGGUUGUAAACAGCUUUCGCCUGUGACGAAGCGUGAGUGACGGUAAUGGGUAAAGAAGCACCGGCUAACUACGUG